AUGAACGCUGGCGGCGUGCCUAAUACAUGCAAGUCGAGCGAACAGAUCAGGAGCUUGCUCCUUUGACGUUAGCGGCGGACGGGUGAGUAACACGUGGGUAACCUACCUAUAAGACUGGGAUAACUUCGGGAAACCGGAGCUAAUACCGGAUAAUAUUUCGAACCGCAUGGUUCGAUAGUGAAAGAUGGUUUUGCUAUCACUUAUAGAUGGACCCGCGCCGUAUUAGCUAGUUGGUAAGGUAACGGCUUACCAAGGCGACGAUACGUAGCCGACCUGAGAGGGUGAUCGGCCACACUGGAACUGAGACACGGUCCAGACUCCUACGGGAGGCAGCAGUAGGGAAUCAUCCGCAAUGGGCGAAAGCCUGACGGAGCAACGCCGCGUGAGUGAUGAAGGUCUUCGGAUCGUAAAACUCUGUUAUUAGGGAAGAACAUACGUGUAAGUAACUGUGCACGUCUUGACGGUACCUAAUCAGAAAGCCACGGCUAACUACGUG
RNAcentral lists this ribosomal RNA (496 nucleotides) under uncultured bacterium. RNAcentral's name for it is "partial 16S ribosomal RNA". It matches the Rfam family "Bacterial small subunit ribosomal RNA", at positions 29 to 507 of the family's 1533-position model. The record is from RNAcentral.